Long non-coding RNA from Bombyx mori (domestic silkworm), 3345 nucleotides. RefSeq lists it as uncharacterized. Lineage: Eukaryota; Metazoa; Arthropoda; Insecta; Lepidoptera; Bombycidae. The transcript is spliced from 2 exons. The record is from RefSeq and is a predicted model, not a curated record.
UUCUUAUCACAAUACUUAAAGCAGUACUGAUUAUUUUUGGUAACACCUCAAUUAUAAUCACCUUUAAACAAUAAACUGCAAAGCCUCCACGGUUCAUGGUACACUUUGAUAUUAGUGGAUAGAAAAAUUUAUUUGAUGCAGUAUUUAUCCAGAACUUGCCUUUGAUAUAGAAUUUGCUGAAACUAGCGCAUCGUAUCCAUUGUAAAAGCACUUAUACGCAUUAAUCUCAUUACCUGAAGACGACGUUCUUCCCUGGACACAAAAGUAUUCGAAAUAAAAAUAAAGUAAACGCGUGAUUGAACUGUAAAUGUUUUUUUUUUUUAUAAUUGCUUUAGUAUUUUAAUUAUUCAAACAAUAUUUUAAUUAUUAAUUUGCAAACAAUUCGAUUGAAUUAUUAUUUUGAAUUUUAAGCGGUUUCCUGCAUAACAGCAGUAGUAUCGUUUAUUAUUUAUUAGAUCUUUUAAAAAAAAAUACAGCCUUUGAAAACGACUUUUGGAAACGCGUUGUAUCAGCAAACUCCGUAAAUACUUUAUGUGAAGAGAACUCGACGUUCAAGUACAUUUAGAAUAUUACAAAUCACUUGAAGAAGAUCGAUACUUUGUUGCCAUUUAUACUCAUGCUGUAACCUGAUUUGUUUACUAUAACGAAAGCCAACGGCUUUUUAUAAAUAUCUUCUGGCUCGCCUUAAGUGCUGUUAUUUUCUGUAAACAAAAUUAUAAUGGGUAUCGAUUUCGGUAACACAAAUAAAAUAUACUUUACAGUUUUUCAAAAAGUGGUUAUGCACAUUUACUGGUGGUUGUGCAUAUUUAUUUCUUAUUUAAAGGGUAGAACAUCAGUUGUUACCUUAUUUGAGACUACUGACUACCUCACGCCUCUGGCCGGCUUAAUAUAAUAUCAGUAAUAGCUAAAUUUGAAAAAAAUUAUACACCUACAUGUGUAACACUAAAUCAAGAUUUAAUUGUUUAUCACCAUCAAAUUAACUGCAGAACUUUCAUAAGUAUAGUCUACAAUGCGACUGCACGGUCAUAAAUUAUAGGAAAUUGGUACCAAAAGUACUUGAUCGAUGUCUGUAAAGACAGAUAAAUCAGUAAAACGCACGAAGGAAACUCGUGUUUAAUACUCGUAAAUUGUACUCAAUUUAAAAUUCGAACUAAAUACAAGCAAUAAACAAGUAUUCGUAUAUCACGCAAAUAUUUCAAAGGUCGCGUACAGCACGAUACUAUCCAAGUUAUUUAUUAUGAAUAGUAAUAAUGUAAAAAUCCUUUAAAAGAUAUAACCCUAUGCAGAACGGCAUAAAUAGUAGUGCGUCUGUUGUCGAGUAGAGACGAAUCGGGAUCAGUGUAAUUAAACGACUAUACUUUGGUUCAACCCUAUAACGCGUACCGAUUAUCUCCUAAAUUAUUAUGCACUCAUUGUUGCAUUCACUCAAGACUUCCACUAUGAAUAUUAUAGUGUAAUAAAAAUCAAAUCACUAAACUCUAUAAAUAAAAGCAAAUAAUUUUUGGUUGUAGAACUCGUUUUGACGCAUGUCGCAUGUGAUAUAGUAAAUAUAAAAUCAACGAAUAAUCCUAUAUUCAAUGAAUGUUUUAAAAUGUAGUAAAAAUAUAUUUUACCCAAUACGAGACGAAAAAUGACUUAGUUUUAUUACGAUGAUACACUUAAUUGUUGUCAGAAGUCUAACAAAAAAUGUUACUUACUAAAAAAUACCUUAAAAUUGUAUAGCUUACAUAAGAACCGAAAUUUUAAACCAUAAAUUAACGCAUGUCUGUUUCGCGACAGGAACAGAUAGGAAGGGGCACAUACCUAUACGGGCUCGUGAACGUGUGUUAAGUGCGUACAUACAUCCCUAGGAAUUUGAAAACCGGCAUAGUCGGACCGCUUAAAAAAAUUACACCGAGCGUCUUAUACUUUAGACCACGGCGAUUUAAAAAUUUAAAAAAUUGAUCAUAUUUGCAACAGUGUAGUAAAAAAUUCCGACGGUAAUCAGUAAUCAGCUUAAAAAAAUGACACCGAGCGUCUUAUACUUUAGGCUACGGCGACUUCAAAAUUGACCUUAUUUGCAAGUGUAGUAAAAAAUACCGACGGUAAUCAGUAAUCAGUCUCCCACUAAGUUGACGUGAGUCGGCUACGCCUGGACGGGUAGUUAAGCUCAUAUGCUGGACCUGAGAGAAUUUCCUAACAAGAGCCCUAGCAAGAGCAGUGCUUUGCAGAAUCUAUCACCGGAUCGGAAUCGCGACCCACUGAGAAAAUCCGGCGAGAAACUUAGUGAGCUGCAUCUAUGGAUUAGGAAGAACUUGUCUUACAUCGUCAAACAAAUCAUUACAUACUAUUAGCUGAAUACAUUUUUAUUGCCUCGAUGAUCUAGUCGCUAUACUUUGUAAUAGCACUGCACCACAUACGAAGGACCGAGCAAAAAAAUAAGCUUCCAAAACUAGAUUUCACAUUUUCUUUUUAUAUAGAAAAUUUUAAAUAGAAAAUAAAUAAUUACUGCGUAUAUGGCUUAGGAAAUUAUUAUCAUUAUUAUUAUUGAACGUAUGUACAUAUAUUCACACAUAUAUCGAUUAAAUUAUUUAACUCCGCCAGUAUAUGUUGUAUAGUACUUUACAACGCGUAGUUACGGCCGGUCUGUGCUCGGUCACACCCUACUGCUGAGGGUAUUGCCCUAAACAAAUUUACUUAUAGAACGACACCUGCAGGCGGCCUAUUAACCAAGGUAAAAAACUAAUAAAAAAGUUUUAAAUUGCGAAAUAAAACCUUUUUUUACGUACUAAACGUACACGUAUUUUAAAUAUAAAGUAUUUUUGUUACACAUCAGUAAUACAUAAAUUUCAUAAAUAAUAUUGGAGUAGAAAUUGAAAUAUUUUUGUUGUGUCUGCAAUAUUAAAUUUAGAUGGUAGUUUGUCUAGCAAUGUUUUGUUGAACUGUUUGCUCCAUGCUCGUGGCGUGCUUUUUAUGAUGUAGAGAACACGAACGGCCUUCAUGCUUAAUGGGCGGAUGACCGCCGGCCGAGCGCGCGCAACAUCGCUGACUUUCACCUGUGAACGCUGUUUUGUAUAAACAUAACUUUAAACACUAUUUUUAUAUUAUUGUUUUAUGGCGAAUCUUUCAACAAACUGUCACUCAUUGAAAUUCCAUUUCAUGCGUACAUCAUUAUUUAUGUGAACCAUUAAACAUUGUCGUCUUACCGGAGAUUUUGUUUGUUCAUUCGUGUGUUGUCCUUUGUUUAAUGCAUGCACGAAUUGUUUUGGUUUCGGCAAAAAGACAAAGAAUAAAUCAAUUAAAUCAUGAUUAUUUUCUUUAUAAUAAAAUAAAAUAACUAAAUCCUUUAUCUAACAAGCAUGGAAA